This 408-nucleotide long non-coding RNA is filed under the name Apteryx rowi (Okarito brown kiwi). RNAcentral describes it as "lncRNA (ENSARWG00000005555.1)". Lineage: Eukaryota; Metazoa; Chordata; Aves; Apterygiformes; Apterygidae. The record is from RNAcentral.
GCCGCGGGCAGCCGCGCCGUGAGGCUGCUGCCCCGGUGGUCUCCUGCCAGCGCGGAGACGCUUCAUGUCUUACCUCAGAUGCGUUUCGGGAGGAGAAACAUGUCAAAUGCUGCCUUUAAACCAGAUCAGAUGGGAAAUGCAGGGUGUGCGUCGUCCACCGAGCAAGGACCUGCUUAUCACAAAAGGGAGCCACCAUGAAGGGAGAAAGAUGGCACAGUAUUCACAGAGGACAGCUUAUCCGAGUUACAGGCUGCACGGCACAGGAAUCUCUGUCUCCAUUCACUGCAGAGGGAGCCAAGGGAAAUUAGCUUUAGCAGGUUGCAGCUGCGUGUGUUCAGCUCUGCAUCCGUAACUCUGGCUGCGGCAGUCCUGCCGGGCUGUUUUGGUAUGGGUAAAAGCACAUCGCCG